GUAAAUUUAACCAUUAAUAAGUGGAUAAAUAAGUUAAAAUAUCGAAAAUCUAGUAACAUGCUACAGUUAUAACAUUGUGACAUGUGUCCUGCGGCCACUAAGGCUAAUC
This is a non-coding RNA of Drosophila virilis, 109 nucleotides long. The record is from RefSeq and is a predicted model, not a curated record. NCBI's taxonomy places the organism in Eukaryota, Metazoa, Arthropoda, Insecta, Diptera, Drosophilidae.